UGGAUAACCUACCUAUAAGACUGGGAUAACUUCGGGAAGCCGGAGCUAAUACCGGAUAAUAUAUUGAACCGCAUGGUUCAAUAGUGAAAGACGGUUUUGCUGUCACUUAUAGAUGGAUCCGCGCCGCAUUAGCUAGUUGGUAAGGUAACGGCUUACCAAGGCAACGAUGCAUAGCCGACCUGAGAGGGUGAUCGGCCACACUGGAACUGAGACACGGUCCAG
This 222-nucleotide ribosomal RNA is filed under the name uncultured Staphylococcus sp. RNAcentral describes it as "partial 16S ribosomal RNA". It matches the Rfam family "Bacterial small subunit ribosomal RNA", at positions 118 to 334 of the family's 1533-position model. Lineage: Bacteria; Bacillati; Bacillota; Bacilli; Caryophanales; Staphylococcaceae. The record is from RNAcentral.